UACCUGGUUGAUCCUGCCAGUAGUCAUAUGCUUGUCUCAAAGAUUAAGCCAUGCAUGUCUAAGUAAAAGCAAAUUUUUACAGCGAAACUGCGAAUGGCUCAUUAAAUCAGUUAUGAUCUACAUGACAAUUACUUUACUACUGGAUAACCGUGGUAAUUCUAGAGCUAAUACAUGCAGAAAAGGCCUGACUUCGGAAGGGCUGCACUUAUUAGAUCAAAACCUUCCUGGGUAAAACCAGUUCUUUGGUGAUUCAUAAUAAUUUAGCUGAUCGCAUGGCCUUGCGCCGGCGACGGUACAUUCGAUUUUCUGC
RNAcentral lists this non-coding RNA (310 nucleotides) under Absidia repens. RNAcentral's name for it is "Eukaryotic small subunit ribosomal RNA". It matches the Rfam family "Eukaryotic small subunit ribosomal RNA", at positions 1 to 310 of the family's 1831-position model. Lineage: Eukaryota; Fungi; Mucoromycota; Mucoromycetes; Mucorales; Cunninghamellaceae. The record is from Rfam by way of RNAcentral.